GCGUCAAAGCGUAAAAUUUUUCCGAUCCAAAACAUUUUAACCACCUCCUGACUUCUCACAGAGCAACUCUAUAUAACAAUAGAAGAACUACUGCUAAAACUAGUAAUAAGAACCCAUUCUCCCCACACACCCCUCAAUCAGAAAUAGAUAAACUACUGAAAGUUAACGAACUAUAAAAAAGAAACAAACAACCCCAAGAAAAAAUUUCCACCAAUUCGUGACACCAACACAGGAGUGUUCUAAGGACAGAUUAAAAGCCCAACAAGGAAUUCAGCUAAUAGACUCCAACUGUUUACCAAAAACAUAGCCUUUAGCAACACAAGUAUUAAAGGUCUCGCCUGCCCAGUGUUCUUUCAACGGCCGCGGUAUCCUAACCGUGCAAAGGUAGACGUAAUCAUUUGUCUCCUAAAUAGAGACUUGUAUGAACGGCUAACUGAGAGCCUAACUGUCUCCUAAGGCCAAUCAAUGAAACUGAUCUUCCAGUACAAAAGCUGAAAUAACCCCAUAAGACGAGAAGACCCUGUGGAGCUUAAAAUACACGCUAUUCUUUAACCCACUUCAACCACGGAACCACCCCCUAAGAUAUAGCAAGACCUUUUCAGUUGGGGCGACUUUGGAAUAAAAAGAAACUUCCAUGAUAAGGGCUCCUCCCUAUUAAGGCCUACCAGCCAACAUAACUUUUUUUGACCCAGACAUCUGAUCAAC
Molecule: ribosomal RNA, 705 nt
Filed under: Ophidiocephalus taeniatus
Lineage: Eukaryota; Metazoa; Chordata; Lepidosauria; Squamata; Pygopodidae
Description: partial 16S ribosomal RNA
Rfam family: Archaeal large subunit ribosomal RNA (bases 275-444)
Source: RNAcentral